This 253-nucleotide ribosomal RNA is filed under the name uncultured bacterium. RNAcentral's name for it is "partial 16S ribosomal RNA". It matches the Rfam family "Bacterial small subunit ribosomal RNA", at positions 524 to 776 of the family's 1533-position model. The record is from RNAcentral.
UACGGAGGGUGCGAGCGUUGUUCGGAAUCACUGGGCGUAAAGCGCGUGUAGGCGGCCUCGUAAGUCUGGUGUGAAAGCCCGGGGCUCACCCCCGGAAGUGCAUUGGAAACUGCAAGGCUCGAGUACCGGAGAGGAGGGUGGAAUUCCUGGUGUAGCGGUGAAAUGCGUAGAUAUCAGGAGGAACACCGGUGGCGAAGGCGGCCCUCUGGACGGAUACUGACGCUGAGACGCGAAAGCGUGGGGAGCAAACGGG